GGUGAACGCUGGCGGCGUGCCUAAUACAUGCAAGUCGAGCGAACGGACGAGAAGCUUGCUUCUCUGAUGUUAGCGGCGGACGGGUGAGUAACACGUGGAUAACCUACCUAUAAGACUGGGAUAACUUCGGGAAACCGGAGCUAAUACCGGAUAAUAUUUUGAACCGCAUGGUUCAAAAGUGAAAGACGGUCUUGCUGUCACUUAUAGAUGGAUCCGCGCUGCAUUAGCUAGUUGGUAAGGUAACGGCUUACCAAGGCAACGAUGCAUAGCCGACCUGAGGGGGUGAUCGGCCACACUGGAACUGAGACACGGUCCAGACUCCUACGGGAGGCAGCAGUAGGGAAUCUUCCGCAAUGGGCGAAAGCCUGACGGAGCAACGCCGCGUGAGUGAUGAAGGUCUUCGGAUCGUAAAACUCUGUUAUUAGGGAAGAACAUAUGUGUAAGUAACUGUGCACAUCUUGACGGUACCUAAUCAGAAAGCCACGGCUAACUACGUG
This 497-nucleotide ribosomal RNA is filed under the name uncultured bacterium. RNAcentral describes it as "partial 16S ribosomal RNA". It matches the Rfam family "Bacterial small subunit ribosomal RNA", at positions 28 to 507 of the family's 1533-position model. The record is from RNAcentral.